UCUAUGGUACCUCAAAGGCAGCAGUCAUUGGACUUACCAAAUCCAUAGCUUCGGACUUCAUUGGGGAAGGAAUCAGAUGCAACUGUAUUUGUCCUGGCACUAUUGACACUCCUUCUCUGCAGGAGAGAAUCCAGGGCAGCCCUGAUCCAGAACAGGCGCUGAAAGACUUUAUGGCCAGGCAAAGGAUAGGUAGGUUGGGA
Podarcis muralis (Common wall lizard) is the source of this 200-nucleotide non-coding RNA. NCBI's taxonomy places the organism in Eukaryota, Metazoa, Chordata, Lepidosauria, Squamata, Lacertidae. The record is from RefSeq and is a predicted model, not a curated record.